GCCACACUGGGACUGAGACACGGCCCAGACUCCUACGGGAGGCAGCAGUGGGGAAUAUUGCACAAUGGGCGCAAGCCUGAUGCAGCGACGCCGCGUGAGGGAUGACGGCCUUCGGGUUGUAAACCUCUUUCACCAGGGACGAAGCGGAAGUGACGGUACCUGGAGAAGAAGCACCGGCCAACUACGUGCCAGCAGCCGCGGUAAUACGUAGGGUGCGAGCGUUGUCCGGAAUUACUGGGCGUAAAGAGCUCGUAGGCGGUUUGUCGCGUCGUCUGUGAAAUUCUGCAACUCAAUUGCAGGCGUGCAGGCGAUACGGGCAGACUUGAGUACUACAGGGGAGACUGGAAUUCCUGGUGUAGCGGUGAAAUGCGCAGAUAUCAGGAGGAACACCGGUGGCGAAGGCGGGUCUCUGGGUAGUAACUGACGCUGAGGAGCGAAAGCGUGGGUAGCGAACAGGAUUAGAUACCCUGGUAGUCC
Molecule: ribosomal RNA, 477 nt
Filed under: Gordonia sp. 12(2011)
Lineage: Bacteria; Bacillati; Actinomycetota; Actinomycetes; Mycobacteriales; Gordoniaceae
Description: bacterial SSU rRNA
Rfam family: Bacterial small subunit ribosomal RNA
Source: RNAcentral